GAUGAACGCUAGCUAUAGGCUUAACACAUGCAAGUCGAGGGGCAGCAUGAACUUAGCUUGCUAAGUUUGAUGGCGACCGGCGCACGGGUGAGUAACACGUAUCCAACCUGCCGAUGACUCGGGGAUAGCCUUUCGAAAGAAAGAUUAAUACCCGAUAGUAUAAUGAAACCGCAUGGUCUUAUUAUUAAAGAAUUUCGGUCAUCGAUGGGGAUGCGUUCCAUUAGGUUGUUGGCGGGGUAACGGCCCACCAAGCCUUCGAUGGAUAGGGGUUCUGAGAGGAAGGUCCCCCACAUUGGAACUGAGACACGGUCCAA
Molecule: ribosomal RNA, 314 nt
Filed under: uncultured bacterium
Lineage: Bacteria
Description: bacterial SSU rRNA
Rfam family: Bacterial small subunit ribosomal RNA
Source: RNAcentral